RNAcentral lists this ribosomal RNA (414 nucleotides) under uncultured microorganism. Its description in RNAcentral is "bacterial SSU rRNA". It matches the Rfam family "Archaeal small subunit ribosomal RNA", at positions 459 to 872 of the family's 1478-position model. The record is from RNAcentral.
CAGCCGCCGCGGUAAUACCGGCGGCCCGAGUGGCGGUCACUAUUAUUGGGCUUAAAGCGUCCGUAGCCGGGUUGGGAAGUCCUCCGGGAAAUCUGGCCGCUUAACGGUCAGAAUGCCGGAGGAUACUCCCAGCCUAGGGAGCGGGGGAGGCCGAGGGGAUUCCCGGGGUAGGGGUGAAAUCCUAUAAUCCCGGGAGGACCACCUGUGGCGAAGGCGCUCGGCUGGAACGCGUCCGACGAUGAGGCACGAAGGCCAGGGGAGCAAACCGGAUUAGAUACCCGGGUAGUCCUGGCUGUAAACGAUGCGGACUUUGUGUCGGACAAGCUAUGAGCUUGUCCGGUGCCGGAGGGAAACCGUUAAGUCCGCCGCCUGGGGAGUACGGCCGCAAGGCUGAAACUUAAAGGAAUUGGCGGG